UACGUAGGGUGCGAGCGUUAAUCGGAAUUACUGGGCGUAAAGCGUGCGCAGGCGGUUCGUUGUGUCGGCGGUGAAAGCCCCGGGCUCAACCUGGGAAUGGCCGUUGAAACUGGCGAACUGGAGUGUGGCAGAGGGGGUUGGAAUUCCGCGUGUAGCAGUGAAAUGCGUAGAGAUGCGGAGGAACACCGAUGGCGAAGGCAGCCCCCUGGGCUGACACUGACGCUCAGGCACGAAAGCGUGGGGAGCAAACAGG
RNAcentral lists this ribosomal RNA (253 nucleotides) under uncultured bacterium. RNAcentral describes it as "partial 16S ribosomal RNA". It matches the Rfam family "Bacterial small subunit ribosomal RNA", at positions 524 to 776 of the family's 1533-position model. The record is from RNAcentral.